This 253-nucleotide ribosomal RNA is filed under the name uncultured bacterium. RNAcentral describes it as "partial 16S ribosomal RNA". It matches the Rfam family "Bacterial small subunit ribosomal RNA", at positions 524 to 776 of the family's 1533-position model. The record is from RNAcentral.
UACGAAGGUGGCAAGCGUUGUUCGGAUUUACUGGGCGUACAGGGAGCGUAGGCGGCUGGAUAAGCCCUCCGUGAAAUCUCCAGGCUUAACCUGGAAAGUGCAGAGGGGACUGUUCAGCUAGAGGAUGGGAGAGGAGCGCGGAAUUCCCGGUGUAGCGGUGAAAUGCGUAGAGAUCGGGAGGAAGGCCGGUGGCGAAGGCGGCGCUCUGGAACAUUUCUGACGCUGAGGCUCGAAAGCGUGGGGAGCAAACAGG